Molecule: ribosomal RNA, 2967 nt
Filed under: Triticum aestivum (bread wheat)
Lineage: Eukaryota; Viridiplantae; Streptophyta; Magnoliopsida; Poales; Poaceae
Description: partial small subunit ribosomal RNA
Source: RNAcentral
AUGGCUCGUCGUCUCAUUAGGCCCGCUGCGGCGUGCCAAGGUUGCAGUUUGGUUAAGGCUGGGUUUCUGGGCGUGGUCUCCCCUCUCCAUUAUCAAAGAUUGCCUUACUCCUCUUCAAAGAGAGGUUCCCCAGGGAAUAAGUACUCUGGCUGCCUCGCUAAUUUAACAAAGGAGGGUUCACACUGGACAGGAACAAGGUCCAAUCCUUUGUUGUCGUUACAUAGUUCAAAGUUUGUCAGCAAGAGGACAGCUUGUUUGAUUGCAACAGGGCCAUCUCCUGCUGCAACUGAAGAACCAGAGAUGGACCUUCCAAAGGAGAUAUUCUUGAAAGACUACAAAAAACCUGACUACUUGUUUGACACGGUGGAUUUAGAAUUUCAACUUGGUGAUGAAAAGACCAUGGUUACUUCUAAAAUAGCUGUAUCUCCAGGCAAUGAAGCAGGCAACUCAUCUCCACUCACUCUUCACGGAUGUGAUCUAAAGCUGUUAUCAAUCAAAAUCAAUGGCACAGAGCUGAAGAGUGACAAGUAUACAGUUGAUCCACGCCAUCUGACGAUUUUGACACCACCUGCUGGUGUAUUCAACAUGGAAAUUGUUACGGAGAUUUAUCCUCAGCUCAACACAUCUUUGGAGGGUUUGUACAGGUCGACUGGUAAUUUUUGCACCCAAUGUGAAGCAGAAGGAUUCCGGAAAAUUACCUACUUUCAGGAUCGCCCGGAUGUGAUGGCAAAAUAUACUUGUCGUAUUGAAGGUGAUAAAACUCUGUAUCCGGUGUUGUUGUCUAACGGCAAUCUUAUCGAACAGGGUGAUCUUGAGGGUGGAAAGCAUUACGCACUAUGGGAGGACCCAUUCAAGAAACCAUGCUACUUGUUUGCGCUAGUUGCUGGUCAGUUGGAGUGCCGGGAGGACUCAUUUGUUACAUGUUCUGGCCGCAAAGUUACACUUCGAAUUUGGACUCCUGCUCAAGAUUUGCCAAAAACAUCCCAUGCUAUGUAUUCUCUUAAAGAAGCUAUGAAAUGGGAUGAGGAGGUUUUUGGUCUUGAAUAUGAUCUUGAUUUGUUCAACAUUGUUGUUGUUCCUGAUUUCAAUAUGGGAGCAAUGGAAAACAAGAGCUUGAAUGUAUUUCAAUCUAGACUUGUGCUAGCAUCACCAGAAGCUGCCACUGAUGGUGAUUAUGCUGCAAUUUUGGGUGUCAUUGGACAUGAGUAUUUCCACAACUGGACUGGGAAUAGAGUGACUUGCCGUGAUUGGUUCCAACUAACGUUGAAAGAAGGACUAACUGUCUUCAGGGAUCAGGAAUUCUCAUCAGAUCUUGGCUGUCGCACAGUAAAGCGCAUAGCUGAUGUCUCUAAACUUAGAUCCUAUCAAUUCCCUCAGGAUGCUGGGCCUAUGGCACAUCCUAUUCGCCCCCUUUCAUAUAUCAAGAUGGACAACUUCUAUACUGGCACAGGUUUACGAAAAGGUGCUGAAGUCGUCAGGAUGUACAAGACAAUGUUUGGAGCUUCAGGGUUUCGAAAGGGCAUGGAUCUUUACUUCCAAAGGCAUGAUGGACAAGCCGUGACUUGUGAAGACUUUUACGCAGCCAUGUGUGAUGCAAAUAAUGCACACUUGCCGAACUUUUUACAAUGGUACUCUCAAGCAGGUACACCUACUGUAAAGGUAACUUCGUCAUAUGAUGAAGGUUCCCAGGCAUUCUCUUUGAAAUUAAGUCAAGAAGUGCCACCUACCCCUGGCCAACCGAUGAAAGAGCCAAUGUUCAUACCUGUUGCUGUUGGACUUGUUGAUUCGACCGGAAAAGAUAUGCCCCUGACUUCCAUCUACAGUGACGGAAUGGUCCAAACACUCUCUAAUGAUGGUCAUCCAAUCUUCACCACAGUGCUUCAGUUUAAGAAGAAGGAGGAAGAGUUUAUAUUUAAAAAUGUGCCUGAGAGACCAGUUCCUUCCUUGUUGAGGGGAUACAGUGCUCCCAUCCGUCUUGAUUCUGAUCUGACUGAGAGUGACUUAUAUUUCUUACUUGCUAAUGAUUCAGAUGAAUUUAACAGAUGGGAAGCAGGUCAAAUAUUGGCACGCAAAUUGAUGUUCAGUCUUGUGGCUGACUUCCAACAACAGAAAACACUGGCGCUAAAUACAAAAUUUGUUGAUGGACUUAGAGCAAUCCUGCAAAGCACAAGCUUGGAUAAAGAAUUCAUUGCAAAAGCAAUAACUCUGCCUGGUCAAGGUGAGAUUAUGGAUAUGAUGUCAAUUGCAGAUCCUGAUGCAGUUCAUGCUGUCCGGACCUUUAUUAAGAAAGAACUAGCCUUUCAACUCAAGGACGAUCUUCUCGCAGCUGUAACAAGCAACAGAAGUUCUGAAGCUUAUGCUUUUGACCAUGAUAGCGUGGCUCGCCGUGCAUUGAAAAAUACAUGUCUCGCUUAUCUUGCAUCCCUGAAUGAGCCAGAUGUCACUGAACUUGCAUUAAAUGAGUACAAGUCUGCUACUAACAUGACCGAGCAGUUUGCUGCAUUAGCAGCAUUGUCUCAAAAUCCAGGUCAAGUCCGUGAGGAUGCCCUUUUGGACUUCUAUAACAAAUGGCAGCAAGAUUAUUUGGUUGUAAGCAAGUGGUUUGCUCUUCAAGCUACCUCGGACAUUCCUGGAAAUGUAGUCAAUGUUCAAAAGUUACUGGCUCAUCCUGCUUUUGACAUGCGGAAUCCGAACAAGGUAUACUCUUUAAUUGGAGGAUUUUGUGGGUCACCUGUGAGUUUUCACGCGAAAGAUGGUUCUGGCUACAAGUUCUUGGGUGAAGUUGUCUUACAGCUCGACAAAAUAAAUCCUCAGGUGGCAUCCCGCAUGGUGUCAGCGUUCUCUCGAUGGAGGAGAUAUGAUGAGACCAGACAAGCUCUUGCUAAGGCCCAGCUGGAGAUGAUCAUCUCAGCCAAUGGACUCUCUGAAAAUGUCUAUGAGAUAGCUUUGAAAAGUUUGGCAGCUUAG